Molecule: ribosomal RNA, 514 nt
Filed under: uncultured bacterium
Lineage: Bacteria
Description: bacterial SSU rRNA
Rfam family: Bacterial small subunit ribosomal RNA
Source: RNAcentral
AUUGAACGCUGGCGGCGUGCCUAACACAUGCAAGUCGAGCGAAUUUGAGGGGCUUGCCCCUCAAGUUAGCGGCGCACGGGUGAGUAACACGUGGAUGAUCUGCCCAUCAGUUCGGGAUAACAGUUGGAAACGACUGCUAAUACCGGAUACGAUCUUUUUUCGCCUUAAGGUGAAAGGGGGCCUCUGUAUAUGCUUCCGCUGAUGGAUGAGUCCGCGCCUCAUUAGGUAGUUGGUAGGGUAACGGCCUACCAAGCCGACGAUGAGUAGCCGGCCUGAGAGGGUAAUCGGCCACACUGGGACUGGAACACGGCCCAGACUCCUACGGGAGGCAGCAGUGGGGAAUAUUGCGCAAUGGACGAAAGUCUGACGCAGCGACGCCGCGUGAGGGAUGAAGGCCUUCGGGUCGUAAACCUCUGUCAGGAGGGAAGAACAAGCAUGGUGCUAAUCAGCCAUGCCCUGACGGUACCUCCAAAGGAAGCACCGGCUAACUCCGUGCCAGCAGCCGCGGUAAGAC